Molecule: ribosomal RNA, 297 nt
Filed under: Triticum aestivum (bread wheat)
Lineage: Eukaryota; Viridiplantae; Streptophyta; Magnoliopsida; Poales; Poaceae
Description: partial small subunit ribosomal RNA
Source: RNAcentral
AUAGGGGACUUUAAUGAGAUUCUUUACCCUUCUGAAAAAGAAGGGGGAGCCCCUCGGCAUCAGUCAAGAAUGCAAGCGUUUCAGGAUGCUUUAUGAGACUGCUCCCUAGAAGAUAUUGGUUACGAAGGAGAUAAGUUUACUUGGUUUCGUGGAGGACUAAGAGAAAGACUAGACCGAGCGGUGUCUAACCAAUCAUGGGCGUAGAUGCAUCCUUGGGCAGGAUUGAUAAACCUGGAGAUGGGAAAAUCUGACCAUCGGCUUAUUUGUCUAGACUCUAGACACAAACCAUCUCCUUGA